UACAGAGGUCUCAAGCGUUGUUCGGAUUCAUUGGGCGUAAAGGGUGCGUAGGCGGCGCGGUAAGUCGGGUGUGAAAUUUCGAGGCUUAACUUCGAAACUGCAUUCGAUACUGCCGUGCUAGAGGACUGGAGAGGAGACUGGAAUUUACGGUGUAGCGGUGAAAUGCGUAGAUAUCGUAAGGAAGACCAGUGGCGAAGGCGGGUCUCGUGGACAGUUCCUGACGCUGAGGCACGAAGGCCAGGGGAGCAAACGGG
Molecule: ribosomal RNA, 254 nt
Filed under: uncultured bacterium
Lineage: Bacteria
Description: partial 16S ribosomal RNA
Rfam family: Bacterial small subunit ribosomal RNA
Source: RNAcentral